AAAGAACUAUUGUUAGUCCGUUGGGAAUUGUUUGCAGGAUUCUGUUGCAAAGACCCAGUAGCAACCUGCUGCAACGAGCUCAGUGAAUUACCUUGUCCUGAUUCCAAACUAGAAGCAGGCUGCAUCGGGAUCGUCAUGUUUUGUUGUGCUGCUGAUCCUGAAAAGGUUGGAAGAGAAUUAUGUUGCAUAUUGUUCAUAUUGUUCGGCUGCACCGGAGCUGCA
This 222-nucleotide unclassified non-coding RNA is filed under the name Hevea brasiliensis (rubber tree). Lineage: Eukaryota; Viridiplantae; Streptophyta; Magnoliopsida; Malpighiales; Euphorbiaceae. The record is from RNAcentral.